UGGGUUUCGGGUACUCAGUGG
This 21-nucleotide non-coding RNA is filed under the name Arabidopsis thaliana (thale cress). Lineage: Eukaryota; Viridiplantae; Streptophyta; Magnoliopsida; Brassicales; Brassicaceae. The record is from RNAcentral.